UGGGGAAUAUUGGACAAUGGGCGAAAGCCUGAUCCAGCCAUGCCGCGUGUGUGAAGAAGGUCUUCGGAUUGUAAAGCACUUUAAGUUGGGAGGAAGGGCAGUAAGCGAAUACCUUCCUGUUUUUACGUUACCGACAGAAUAAGCACCGGCUAACUCUGUGCCAGCAGCCGCGGUAAUACCGAGGGUGCAAGCGCUAAUCGGAAUUACUGGGCGUAAAGCGCGCGUAGGUGGUUCGUUAAGUUGAAUGGGAAAGCCCCGGGAUCAACCUGGGAACUGCAUCCAAAACUGGCGGGCUAGAGUAGGGCAGAGGGUGGUUGAAUUUCCUGUGUAGCGGUGUAAUGCGUAGAUAUAGGAAGGAACACCAGUGGCGAAGGCGACCACCUGGGCUCAUACUGACACUGAGGUGCGAAAGCGUGGGGAGCAAACAGG
Molecule: ribosomal RNA, 429 nt
Filed under: Pseudomonadota bacterium
Lineage: Bacteria; Pseudomonadati; Pseudomonadota
Description: Proteobacteria bacterium partial 16S ribosomal RNA
Rfam family: Bacterial small subunit ribosomal RNA
Source: RNAcentral